This is an RNA transcript of Pan troglodytes (chimpanzee), 826 nucleotides long. It is a transcript of the gene named D-dopachrome tautomerase, with no coding region annotated. The transcript is spliced from 3 exons. Lineage: Eukaryota; Metazoa; Chordata; Mammalia; Primates; Hominidae. The record is from RefSeq and is a predicted model, not a curated record.
UCCUCCCUGGUCCGCGAGCCUUGGGUACCCCCAGCUUUUUUUCCGCCAGAGCUGUUUCCGUUCCUCUGCCCGCCAUGCCGUUCCUAGAGCUGGACACGAAUUUGCCCGCCAACCGAGUGCCCGCGGGGCUGGAGAAACGACUCUGCGCCGCCGCUGCCUCCAUCCUGGGCAAACCUGCGGACCGCGUGAACGUGACGGUACGGCCGGGCCUGGCCAUGGCGCUGAGCGGGUCCACCGAGCCCUGCGCGCAGCUGUCCAUCUCCUCCAUCGGCGUAGUGGGCACCGCCGAGGACAACCGCAGCCACAGCGCCCACUUCUUUGAGUUUCUCACCAAGGAGCUAGCCCUGGGCCAGGACCGGUGCGUAGGGGUAGUAGGGGAUCCAUGUGGGACUGCCGCAGACUGGAGCCAGUGAUCCUGCCUCAGGGGGAAAAACCCAUUUCUUGCCCUGCCCAGUAAGGACACAUCAGGGUCUGGAGCUUUGGGGCCCCCUGACCCCUUAGGUUCCUGCUGUUAGGACCAUCUUCAAAGUGCGAGCAGGAUUGAAUGAAUUUCUGGCUCUGCUCCUCAGCGUGAUACUUAUCCGCUUUUUCCCCUUGGAGUCCUGGCAGAUUGGCAAGAUAGGGACGGUCAUGACUUUUUUAUGAUUGGGCACGGAGGGAUCCAGGGCAUCUGUGAACUGGCUGCUUCUUCCAGAGAGAUCUCUUGGCAGAGUGAGGGCCUGGUGAUAACCAGCUUUGGAUUAUCCCGCAUGCAACAUUCCUGUGAUCACAUAAUCCUCUUCUUCAUCCUCAUAUGAAAUAAAUGAAGAGAGCUUCCUCAUUCAAA